Molecule: ribosomal RNA, 253 nt
Filed under: uncultured bacterium
Lineage: Bacteria
Description: partial 16S ribosomal RNA
Rfam family: Bacterial small subunit ribosomal RNA
Source: RNAcentral
UACGUAGGUGACAAGCGUUGUCCGGAUUUACUGGGCGUAAAGAGCGCGCAGGCGGUCGUUCAAGUCGAGUGUGAAAGCCCCCGGCUCAACUGGGGAGGGUCAUUCGAUACUGAUCGACUCGAAGGCAGGAGAGGGUAGUGGAAUUCCCGGUGUAGUGGUGAAAUGCGUAGAUAUCGGGAGGAACACCAGUGGCGAAGGCGACUACCUGGCCUGCUCUUGACGCUGAGGCGCGAAAGCUAGGGGAGCAAACGGG